Molecule: ribosomal RNA, 504 nt
Filed under: uncultured bacterium
Lineage: Bacteria
Description: partial 16S ribosomal RNA
Rfam family: Bacterial small subunit ribosomal RNA
Source: RNAcentral
AUUGAACGCUGGCGGCAGGCCUAACACAUGCAAGUCGAACGGUAGCACAGAGAGCUUGCUCUCGGGUGACGAGUGGCGGACGGGUGAGUAAUGUCUGGGAAACUGCCCGAUGGAGGGGGAUAACUACUGGAAACGGUAGCUAAUACCGCAUAACGUCGCAAGACCAAAGUGGGGGACCUUCGGGCCUCCCACCAUCGGAUGUGCCCAGAUGGGAUUAGCUAGUAGGUGGGGUAAUGGCUCACCUAGGCGAAGAUCCAUAUCUGGACUGCGAGGAUGACCAGCCACACUGGAACUGAGACACGGACCAGACUCCUACGGGAGGCAGCAGUGGGGAAUAUUGCACAAGGGGCGCAAGCCUGAUGCAGCCAUGCCGCGUGUAUGAAGAAGGCCUUCGGGUUGUAAAGUACUUUCAGCGGGGAGGAAGGCGGUGAAGUUAAUAACUUCACCGAUUGACGUUACCCGCAGAAGAAGCACCGGCUAACUCCGUGCCAGCCGCCGCAGUAA